UACAGAGGGUGCGAGCGUUGUCCGGAAUCACUGGGCGUAAAGGGCGCGUAGGUGGCGGCCCAAGUCCGUGGUGAAAGCUCGCCGCUUAACGGCGAGUCGGCCACGGAGACUGGGUGGCUCGAGCACUGUAGGGGCAGAUGGAAUUCCGGGUGUAGCGGUGGAAUGCGUAGAGAUCCGGAAGAACACCAGUGGCGAAGGCGGUCUGCUGGGCAGUUGCUGACACUGAGGCGCGAAAGCGUGGGGAGCAAACAGG
Molecule: ribosomal RNA, 253 nt
Filed under: uncultured bacterium
Lineage: Bacteria
Description: partial 16S ribosomal RNA
Rfam family: Bacterial small subunit ribosomal RNA
Source: RNAcentral